GACAGAGGUGCCGAGCGUUAGGCGGAAUCACUGGGCUUAAAGCGCGUGUAGGCGGCCCUGUAAGUCGGGUGUGAAAUCCCACGGCUCAACCGUGGAAGUGCACUCGAAACUACAGGGCUAGAGUCCUGGAGAGGAAGGUGGAAUGCUUGGUGUAGAGGUGAAAUUCGUAGAUAUCAAGCGGAACACCGGUGGCGAAGGCGGCCUUCUGGACAGUGACUGACGCUGAGACGCGAAAGCGUGGGGAGCAAACAGG
Molecule: ribosomal RNA, 253 nt
Filed under: uncultured bacterium
Lineage: Bacteria
Description: partial 16S ribosomal RNA
Rfam family: Bacterial small subunit ribosomal RNA
Source: RNAcentral